AAGAGCGUUCUGGUGAAGACUCCCUCAUCCCAAGCGGACAGUGUUGUGCAGAUUUUGUACACUCCUUCUUCAGUCUCAUUAUCAGCUCAAUCAACUGCUUUCAGUGGAAGGUCUGUCAAAGUCAGGCGCCAUGGAGAGACGUUUACUCAGGUUAUCUCACGUAAUUCUCACCGCAAACAAAUAAAGAAGGCCUGUCCUGAGGUGCCUGCUGGACUUGUGGAAACUGAGGUUCAGAGAAGUUAGAUGACGACUCAGCAGCGGAAUGAAGAUUCAAUUCCAGAUUGUCUGAUGGCAGCGCUGGUUCUGUCCACUGAUUCACUCUUCUAUCUUCCACGUGCUGUUCUGCAAACAAAAGAGCGUCAGGUUCUAAGGUUUUUAAAUAAAGCUUCAAUGAUGGAGAGAGCCAGACAGAGAGUGAACAUCCUACAACACAGCUGGCGGGGAAACCGAGGCACAGAGCGGCUGCUGAGUGGAGCUGAGGUCGCGCGGCAGCAGCAGCCCGUGUCAGG
This is a non-coding RNA of Odocoileus virginianus texanus, 509 nucleotides long. Lineage: Eukaryota; Metazoa; Chordata; Mammalia; Artiodactyla; Cervidae. The record is from RefSeq and is a predicted model, not a curated record.